Homo sapiens (human) is the source of this 1101-nucleotide long non-coding RNA. NCBI's taxonomy places the organism in Eukaryota, Metazoa, Chordata, Mammalia, Primates, Hominidae. The record is from Ensembl.
AGGCUGAGUGUUCAUGUCACCAGAAGUCUGACUCGCCUGCUGUGCUCUUGCCUGCUGUGCUCUCGUAAUUACUUUCGGAAAGGUUUUCUGGCUACAAUAAAAUCUGAUUAAAUUUGUUACCAAGCAAAUUGAAUUGUUCAGGCUGCAACCUUUCUAGAAGUUUUAAACGUUAUUUAAAAGAAGAUUUCAACCUCACUCCAUUUCAGCUUUCUCUGGGGAGCUGCUCUUGUGCUGUUUGGCCCCUGCCUACUCGGAAUGGAACAAAGCAUCGAACAAACAACUGAGAUCCUGUUGUGCCUAUCACCUGUUGAAGUUGCCAGUCUUAAGGAAGGAAUCAAUUUCUUUCGCAAUAAGAGCACUGGCAAAGACUACGUCUUGUACAAGAAUAAGAGCCGACUGAGGGCAUGCAAGAAUAUGUGCAAGCACCAAGGAGGCCUGUUCAUAAAAGAUAUCGAGGAUUUAGCCGGAAGUUGUUGAAAUGGAUGAAAACAACGGACUUUUGCUUUUAGAACUGAAUCCUCCUAACCCUUGGGACUUACAGCCCAGAUCUCCUGAAGAGUUGGCUUUUGGAGAAGUACAGAUAACAUAUCUCACUCAUGCCUGCAUGGACCUCAAGUUAGGAGACAAGAGAAUGGUGUUUGACCCUUGGUUAAUCGGUCCUGCUUUUGCCCGUGGAUGGUGGUUGCUCCAUGAGCCUCCAUCUGAUUGGCUGGAGAGGCUGUGCCAGGCAGACCUCAUUUACAUCAGUCAUCUGCACUCAGACCACCUGAGUUACCCCACACUGAAAAAGCUUGCUGGGAGAAGACCAGAUAUUCCCAUUUAUGUUGGAAACACAGAAAGGCCUGUAUUUUGGAAUCUGAAUCAGAGCGGUGUCCAGUUGACUAAUAUCAAUGUCGUGCCAUUUGGAAUAUGGCAGCAGGUGGACAAAAAUCUUCGAUUCAUGAUCUUGAUGGACGGUGUUCAUCCUGAGAUGGACACUUGCAUUAUUGUGGAGUACAAAGGUCAUAAAAUACUCAAUAUAGUAGACUGCACCAGACCCAAUGGGGGAAGGCUGCCUAUGAAGGUUGCUCUAAUGAUGAGUGAUUUUGCUGGAGGAGCAUC